RNAcentral lists this ribosomal RNA (468 nucleotides) under uncultured bacterium. RNAcentral's name for it is "partial 16S ribosomal RNA". It matches the Rfam family "Bacterial small subunit ribosomal RNA", at positions 28 to 507 of the family's 1533-position model. The record is from RNAcentral.
GACGAACGCUGGCGGCGUGCUUAACACAUGCAAGUCGAACGGAAAGGCCCUGCUUUUGUGGGGUGCUCGAGUGGCGAACGGGUGAGUAACACGUGAGUAACCUGCCCUUGACUUUGGGAUAACUUCAGGAAACUGGGGCUAAUACCGGAUAGGAGCUCCUGCUGCAUGGUGGGGGUUGGAAAGUUUCGGCGGUUGUGGAUGGACUCGCGGCUUAUCAGCUUGUUGGGGGGGUAGUGGCUUACCAAGGCUUUGACGGGUAGCCGGCCUGGGAGGGUGGCCGGCCACAUUGGGCCUGAGAUACGGCCCAGACUCCUACGGGAGGCAGCAGGGGGGAGUAUUGCGCAAUGGGCGGAAGCCUGAUGCAGCAACGCCGCGUGCGGGAUGACGGCUUUCGGGUUGUAAACCGCUUUCGCCUGUGACGAAGCGUGAGUGACGGUAAUGGGUAAAGAAGCACCGGCUAACUACGUG